RNAcentral lists this ribosomal RNA (1366 nucleotides) under metagenome. RNAcentral's name for it is "bacterial LSU rRNA". It matches the Rfam family "Bacterial large subunit ribosomal RNA", at positions 1563 to 2917 of the family's 2925-position model. The record is from RNAcentral.
ANGACGAGUCGUCUUUUAGAUGACGAAGUGGUUGAUGCCAUGCUUCAAGAAAGCUUCUAAGCUUCAGGUAACCAGGAACCGUACCCCAAACCGACACAGGUGGUCGGGUAGAGAAUACCAAGGCGCUUGAGAGAACUCGGGUGAAGGAACUAGGCAAAAUGGCACCGUAACUUCGGGAGAAGGUGCGCCGGCUAGGGUGAAGGAUUUACUCCGUAAGCUCUGGCUGGUCGAAGAUACCAGGCCGCUGCGACUGUUUAUUAAAACACAGCACUCUGCAAACACGAAAGUGGACGAUAGGGUGUGACGCCUCCCCGGUGCCGGAAGGUUAAUUGAUGGGGUUAGCGCAAGCGAAGCUCUUGAUCGAAGCCCGGUAAACGGCGGCCGUAACAAUAACGGUCCUAAGGUAGCGAAAUUCCUUGUCGGUAAGUUCCGACCUGCACGAAUAGCGUAACGAUGGCGGCGCUGUCUCCACCCGAGACUCAGUGAAAUUGAAAUCGCUGUGAAGAUGCAGUGUAUCCGCGGCUAGACGGAAAGACCCCGUGAACCUUUACUGUAGCUUUGCACUGGACUUUGAGCCUGCUUGUGUAGGAUAGGUGGGAGGCUUUGAAGCGUGGACGCCAGUUCGCGUGGAGCCAUCCUUGAAAUACCACCCUGGCAUGCUUGAGGUUCUAACUCUGGUCCGUAAUCCGGAUCGAGGACAGUGUAUGGUGGGCAGUUUGACUGGGGCGGUCUCCUCCUAAAGGGUAACGGAGGAGUACGAAGGUGCGCUCAGACCGGUCGGAAAUCGGUCGCAGAGUAUAAAGGCAAAAGCGCGCUUGACUGCGAGACAGACACGUCGAGCAGGUACGAAAGUAGGUCUUAGUGAUCCGGUGGUUCUGUAUGGAAGGGCCAUCGCUCAACGGAUAAAAGGUACUCCGGGGAUAACAGGCUGAUACCGCCCAAGAGUUCAUAUCGACGGCGGUGUUUGGCACCUCGAUGUCGGCUCAUCACAUCAUGGGGCUGAAGCCGGUCCCAAGGUAUGGCUGUUCGCCAUUUAAAGUGGUACGCGAGCUGGGUUUAGAACGUCGUGAGACAGUUCGGUCCCUAUCAGCCGUGGACGUUUGAGAUUUGAGAGGGCUGCUCCUAGUACGAGAGGACCGGAGUGGACGAACCUCUGGUGUUCCGGUUGUCACGCCAGUGGCAUUGCCGGGUAGCUAUGUUCGGAAAAGAUAACCGCUGAAAGCAUCUAAGCGGGAAACUUGCCUCAAGAUGAGAUCUCACUGGGAACUUGAUUCCCUGAAGGGCCGUCGAAGACUACGACGUUGAUAGGCUGGGUGUGUAAGCGUUGUGAGGCGUUGAGCUAACCAGUACUAAUUGCCCGUGAGGC